Molecule: ribosomal RNA, 300 nt
Filed under: uncultured Myxococcales bacterium
Lineage: Bacteria; Pseudomonadati; Myxococcota; Myxococcia; Myxococcales
Description: bacterial SSU rRNA
Rfam family: Bacterial small subunit ribosomal RNA
Source: RNAcentral
ACGUGGGUAAUCUACCUUCCGGCGGGGGACAACAGUCCGAAAGGAUUGCUAAUACCGCAUACGUCAACGAGGUCUACGGGCCUUGUUGGGAAAGAUGGCCUCUCCUUGGAAGCUGUCACCGGAAGAUGAGCCCGCGUCCCAUCAGCUAGUUGGCGAGGUAAUGGCUCACCAAGGCAUAGACGGGUAGCUGGUCUGAGAGGAUGAUCAGCCACACUGGGACUGCGACACGGCCCAGACUCCUACGGGAGGCAGCAGUGGGGAAUAUUGGGCAAUGGGCGAAAGCCUGACCCAGCCACGCCG